GACAGAGGGUGCAAACGUUGCUCGGAAUUACUGGGCGUAAAGCGCGUGUAGGCGGGCUAGUAAGUCGGACGUGAAAUCCCUGAGCUCAACUCAGGAACUGCAUCCGAAACUAUUAGCCUUGAGUGGUGGAGAGGGAAGCAGAAUUCCUGGUGUAGAGGUGAAAUUCGUAGAUAUCAGGAGGAACACCGGUGGCGAAGGCGGCUUCCUGGACACUAACUGACGCUGAGACGCGAAAGCGUGGGGAGCAAACAGG
Molecule: ribosomal RNA, 253 nt
Filed under: uncultured bacterium
Lineage: Bacteria
Description: partial 16S ribosomal RNA
Rfam family: Bacterial small subunit ribosomal RNA
Source: RNAcentral